UGGGGCAAAACUCAAAAAAUAAGUCUCAGUUCGGAUUGAAGGCUGAAAUUCGCCUUCAUGAAGCCGGAAUUGCUAGUAAUGGCAGGUCAGCAUACUGCCGUGAAUACGUUCCCGGGCCUUGUACACACCGCCCGUCACACCAUGAGAGUUGGGAAUACCCGAAGCCUGUGAGCUAACUUUUAGAGGCAGCAGUCGAAGGUAGAAUCAAUGAUUGGGGUGAAGUCGUAACAAGGUACC
RNAcentral lists this ribosomal RNA (237 nucleotides) under uncultured bacterium. RNAcentral describes it as "partial 16S ribosomal RNA". It matches the Rfam family "Bacterial small subunit ribosomal RNA", at positions 1263 to 1500 of the family's 1533-position model. The record is from RNAcentral.